This 1122-nucleotide long non-coding RNA is filed under the name Callithrix jacchus (white-tufted-ear marmoset). Its description in RNAcentral is "lncRNA (ENSCJAG00000069731.1)". The record is from RNAcentral. Lineage: Eukaryota; Metazoa; Chordata; Mammalia; Primates; Cebidae.
CUCCCUCCUCAGCCUCCCAAAGUGCUGAAAUUAUAGGUGCAAGCCACCACAACUGGCCUCUUUACUAAUAUUUUUGUUUAUUGUUCUAUCAAUUAUGAGAGGGUGUUGGUAAAAUCUCCAACUAUCACAGUUUAUCUGUAUCUUCCUUUAGUUUAUGUAUACUAAAAGUUAGUAUACAUAAUAUGUUAUUAGGUGAUACAUAAUUAUUACAGUGUGUUAUUAGAUGAUAAAUAUUAAUGUAUCUUUCUAAUGUCUAAUGUCUUUCCUAACAUCUUUCAAUAAAUUGACUUGUUUUCAUUUUGAGAUGACCUUUUUAAUUUCUAGCUUUACUCUUUGUCUUUUAGCCUACUAAAUUGAUAAUCUUGUUGUUACGAAGAUAACCACACCAAUUUUCUUAUGCUUACAGUUUGAUGGAAUACUUAUUUUCAUUUUACUUUUUUUUUUUUUUUUUUUUAAUAGAGACAAGGUUUUACCAUGUUGGCCAGGCUGGUUUCAAACUGACCUUGUGAUCCACCUACCUCGGCCUCCCAAAGUGCUGGGAUUACAGGCGGCUCUGCCAAGACCUCCAUCCAAAGUUGGCUGGCGGCUCCCCUGCACUGUGAACCAGAGCUGCCGGGCGGGCGAGGUCACAGCCAGUUAUUAUCCCCUCCCACGCUGCUUAUCAAGCUUGGCCCUUUUCUCCUCCAGUGUGAAUGCUUGGGGCUCUUCGCUAUGCAAUGAAAAUAAACAGCAAUGUAAAUGGUCUCCUGGCUACUUGAUCCAAACCAAUACGGAAAACCUGCUUUACAAGCUUCCACUGAAACUUCUGGUAGAAUAAGCAACUGAUAGAUAAUUCUACACCAAAUGUCUGGCAUUUAGCCAGAACCAACAACUGUUCCCUUUUUUUGUAAGCCACAUUCUGGUGACCAUGGAAAGCCAAAAUAGUUAUUUUGAUUCUAGAGCAUUUUCUAAAGGAAGGUGAAAUCACAGUGCCAUUAUGCAAACUAACCAUAGGUUCAGGAUGAGGGAAAAAUUAGCGUAAAGACUUUAUCUUACUCCUAAAAAUCUCAAAUUAAAAAUUUUUAACUUGAAAGAAAUUGGUAGACUGCCAAUAAAAAUUUUUUUUAAAAACAGAGCUCACCA